GGAGGGGGCCGCGUAGCUGAGCCCGGGGCUGAGACCAGGUUUCCUAUAAGAAGUGACUCCGGGGCAAUUUGAAGGUUUUGAAAGGGGAAGGGCAUUUCAAACAGAAGUGUACGUCCCAGUCCCAGGUGAGGUCAAAGGAGCUGCUCUCACAAGUGCUGGAUUGUGAAUCCCUCAAUGGGGCAUGUCAGGUCUUUUAUGAUCAGGAUGCAAUGCUUGGCUUUUAAAAUAAGCACUUUAUAGUUUUCAGAACACUUAUAAAUCCUUUUUCCCUCUCUUCAGCAGCCUUAUCCAACAGUACCAAAAAUCGGGAAAGAAGAACAAAACAAAGAACGGAGAAAAGGCUGGAUAGCUUUGCGGCAACAGAGCUCAGCCCACACCCCCCCUCUCACCGCAGCCCACGUAUGGGACUGGCCCACAAAAAGUGGCGGUGAUCACAUCA
RNAcentral lists this long non-coding RNA (439 nucleotides) under Felis catus (domestic cat). RNAcentral's name for it is "lncRNA (ENSFCAG00000048427.1)". The record is from RNAcentral. Lineage: Eukaryota; Metazoa; Chordata; Mammalia; Carnivora; Felidae.